This 492-nucleotide ribosomal RNA is filed under the name uncultured bacterium. RNAcentral's name for it is "partial 16S ribosomal RNA". It matches the Rfam family "Bacterial small subunit ribosomal RNA", at positions 29 to 507 of the family's 1533-position model. The record is from RNAcentral.
AGUGAACGCUGGCGGUAGGCCUAACACAUGCAAGUCGAACGGCAGCACAGUAAGAGCUUGCUCUUACGGGUGGCGAGUGGCGGACGGGUGAGGAAUACAUCGGAAUCUACUUUUUCGUGGGGGAUAACGUAGGGAAACUUACGCUAAUACCGCAUACGACCUACGGGUGAAAGCAGGGGAUCUUCGGACCUUGCGCGAUUGAAUGAGCCGAUGUCGGAUUAGCUAGUUGGCGGGGUAAAGGCCCACCAAGGCGACGAUCCGUAGCUGGUCUGAGAGGAUGACCACCCCCCCUGGAACUGAACCACGCUCAGGCCCCCUCCGGGAGGAGCCGGGGGGGAAUUUUGGACAAGGGGCGCAGGCCUGACCCACCCAUCCCGGGGGGGUGAAGAGGGCUUCGGGUUUUUAAAGCCUUUUUUUUGGGAAAAAAAAGCAGCAGUUUAAUCCCCCCCUUUUCUGACGUUCCCAAAAAAAUAAGCCCCGGCUAACUUCGUC